Molecule: unclassified non-coding RNA, 652 nt
Filed under: Saxifraga bryoides
Lineage: Eukaryota; Viridiplantae; Streptophyta; Magnoliopsida; Saxifragales; Saxifragaceae
Description: sequence contains ITS1, 5.8S rRNA gene, ITS2
Rfam family: 5.8S ribosomal RNA (bases 225-380)
Source: RNAcentral
CGAACACGUAGCUAACAAUCGGGGAUCCAAGCGCGUCUCCCCUGGGGGAGGCCCUUUCUUCCCAACGUCGGGGCGGCUCGUUGCGAGUUAACGACCUCCGGGCCUUCCCGAUGCAACAAAAAACCGGCGCGAAAUGCGCCAAGGAACAUGAAAGAGAGUGCGCUCUUCCGGCGUCAGCUCGCGCUGUGCUCGGACGGGCGUCGUCUUCUUGAUGAGUUUAUAAUGACUCUCGGCAACGGAUAUCUCGGCUCUUACAUCGAUGAAGAACGUAGCAAAAUGCGAUACUUGGUGUGAAUUGCAGAAUCCBGUGAACCAUCGAGUCUUUGAACGCAAGUUGCGCCCGAAUCCAUCUGGUCGAGGGCACGUCUGCCUGGGUGUCACGUACACGCGUCUCCCGCGAACCUYCCCCUUUCGAGGACGAAGGGUCUCGCGGGAGCAGAUAUUGGUAUCCCGUGCCCGUUUCGCGCGGUUUGCCUAAAAACGGAGAGCCUGUGACGAAACGUCACGCCUAGUGGUGGUUAACAAGGCCUAACGGCCGACCAGUUCGUGGCGUGCGCGUUUGUCGCAAGGAAGUCUCAGACGACACCUUGAACGUCCCCUAACGGGGCGUGCUACUGUCGCGACCCCAGGUCAGGCGGGACUACCCGCUGAA